Molecule: transfer RNA, 75 nt
Filed under: Prevotella sp.
Lineage: Bacteria; Pseudomonadati; Bacteroidota; Bacteroidia; Bacteroidales; Prevotellaceae
Description: tRNA-Ile
Rfam family: tRNA
About the family: Transfer RNA (tRNA) molecules are approximately 80 nucleotides in length.
Source: RNAcentral
GGGCGUGUAGCUCAACGGCAGAGCGGGGGUCUCAUAAAUCCUUGGUUUCGGGUUCAAGUCCCGCCACGCCCACCA